AACAGUUGAAAAUAGUUUUAUGUGAAUGGUGCAGAUAAUAGUAUACAAACUAAAAUGAAUUUGCAUACCUACACGCAGAAUAGGCUAGAAGACUAUUACCUUGACUAUAAAAUAGGUCCAAGGUUCGUCAGCGCAUGUAGGUACAAUUUAAUUUACGUAACAAAAUGUUCUACUGUUUAAUUUUCGCCACAUGCUUAAUAAAUUUGCAAAAAACAGGCGAAAAUUUAAUAUUUAUUUUCGAAUAUUUGCUUAAAGUACAUGUUUGCGUUGGCCUUUUUAGAAACUAAUACAGUGUUAUUAAAUCGCAAUGACAGAAUUCCUAACGUAUACGAUUUUACUUUACUUAAGUGCCACUUUCCUAUUUAAAUUAUCUUCCUACAGACAUAUUUUUAGUAGUUAUACAUACAUACAUAAAUACAUAUAUUCGUGCAUACAUACAUACAUAGAUAUACAAUAAAGGUAUUGAAAAUGCAGGAACUAUAUUUAAGAAAAACUCAAUUUUCCCCAACCAAGAAUUGUUCCUGAAUCCGCCCCUGCUAUGGAAGUACCUAAAUAAUAAUAAUUUAUUAUAUCUGAUCUUGAUGUUUUAAAUUUACAUUUACCGAUUGUGGAAAAAAUAUUGUACACAAAAAAGGAAAAUACCAACGUUUCGUCAGUGGUUACAAAGGAGUAAGGACACCGCGAGGAGUUUUUUAGAAGUCCUGUUUUUAUGCAAAAUGUGAGCAUUUUGCAAUACAUUCGCAAGGAGAUCAAAGAAUAAAUAGUGAAACGUUGCAACUCCAUUCCCCAUUAUUCGUUAAGAUGUGCGGACUCUGAAGCAAAUCUUUUCGUAAAUUAAGUUUCAAAUGUAAGAUUAAUAAUUUUAAUCUGUAUAGGUGUAAAAAAUAUGUAGAGAUCCAUACUGAUCCAUCUUCAUUCUUCCACGAUCAAAAAGGCCAACUUUUACAUUCACCAAAUAAAUUAUUUUCAUCUUCAAUGCUUCUUUUUAAAUAACCGGUAAUAAAUAUUCGAUUCUCAUUCCUUCUGCUUAUUUUUAUUUUAAUUUUUGUUAUUACUUUUAUUAUUAAUCGCAAAUGUUGACCUGCAACUGGAUUUAUUCCUUUCCAUUUUUAGUUUCGAUUUUAUUAAAGACUAAAGUUUUGCCCGCUCGCAUGAGAUUAGAUAUUUUUAAUUGUUUAGAAUAAAAGUACUUGUAAUAACCAAUAAACAAUUUAAAUAAAAUUGUCUAGGUCACUCCUGACAACCACUCUUCAUAUUUACGAAGUCCCAUCGAAAUUGGUUCAACUAUUUCAAUGAUUAGUCCGCAUGGAUGGACAAACAGACAGACGACAAUUUUUCCUAAUUUAUAUAUCUGUACUAUUUUAUUUAUUUAAUUA
This is a long non-coding RNA of Agrilus planipennis (emerald ash borer), 1376 nucleotides long. RefSeq lists it as uncharacterized. The transcript has 3 exons. Lineage: Eukaryota; Metazoa; Arthropoda; Insecta; Coleoptera; Buprestidae. The record is from RefSeq and is a predicted model, not a curated record.